CGGGUGUGAAGCGCUAAGCAUACUCAUAGCAGCUCUCUCGCACGGACUGAAAGGUCCACGGCCUCCACCCCUCGCCACCGGCGUGUCUUCCAGCAUCUAAUUACUCUCAUUGCAGGGAGCCCGCACAGCCCUUGCACGGCACAAAACAACUGCAGCCCGAGUCGCUGCAUACACACGCUUCACGAGACCGCGCGCGCUAAACGUCUGUGUGAGUGCGCGCACUUGCGGCGUAGCCCUGCCAUCUUUGCGCGCGCGGUAAAUCGUCUGCUCUGUGCGCACGCCAUGCAGUGGGUGCCGCCUAUUGCAACUGGCGCUGCGUUGGCCCAUCGGACCGCCGCCUUCGCAGUUGAAAGCCUAAGGGCGAUCCACGAUCCGACGAAUGCAGAUGCCGUCUCCGCUGUGGGCGAGCUCAGCUCGCUCGAUUCGCUGGAGAACAUGAAGAACUGCAUGAUGGCUGACCAGCGGGGCCGCAGCAUUUUGAAGCACCAGCCUGUCGUGGGCGAUGAGGCGCUCGAGUUCAGCCGCGGCCUCGCACCGUCCACCUUCGGCUUCAGGUAUGCCGCCUAUAUGGACCGUAACCAUUUCCUGCCAAGUGGGCGGACGGCGGUGAAGCACAUUGCUGAUCCGACUUUGGCGUAUGUAAUGACGCGGUACAGGCAGUGCCACGACUUUGUGCACAUCAUUACCGGUUGUGGUCGCUCGAUAGAGGAGGAGCUGGCGGUGAAGAUCUUUGAGUGGAAGCACACGGGCCUGCCUCUUGGGUUGCUCUCGCUGCUGGGUGGAGCACCGCGUCUGGCAGCAGCGCAGUGGGCACACAUGCGACUCUAUUGGGAGUGGGCCUCUCGCAACGCACCUUGCUCCCGCCACGGUGAGCCCGCCGUGCCCAUGUAUCUCAAUGUGCCGUGGGAGGACAUGCUUGCCAAGGAAUACGAUGAAGUUGUGGCGUACACCGGUAUUACACCGCUGCCUCAAUUCCUCGAGAAGCGCCAGAAGCACUGAAUGGUGUGCGUUUCGUCGACUGGCACGGAAGUGAAUGGAGCACAAGAAAUGAGGAAGGAGAGACAGGAUCGCGAGAUGUUAAAGGCCGCUGCCGCUCUCAGCGCCCCCUGCCUUUUCCCCCGGACGCACGCCCCUUCUUGUGCAUGCUCGGCCGCGUCGUUCAUCUUCUAUACUGUGCGCAUCUGACGGUUUAUGCGCAACUCCAGCGAUGCAAUCGUCUGUUGCGUUGUGUGUGUGUGUGUGUGUGCGUCAUUCACAAACAAAUUUGAUUUCCUCGUGGCUACCCAUGUGCAGUAGAAGGCGUGCGCGUGUAGGUAGGUGAGUGAGGGAGCAACUGGCGCGAACUCGCUGUCAACAAGUUACCCUUCGGCAUCGAAAACAAGGCAGCCUCUCUUUCAGCCACAAACCUUUCAUGGUGUCGCGAGUGCGAUCGCACUGCGUUGCAUGAUGCCUCUUCUACCAUCUCUCCUCACUGCAUGCGAACGUAUGCAUGCGUACGCGCGCGUGCACGAGAUGCCUUCGCUGCUGCGCUAGACUUGUUUCCUCCCCGCCCUCUUUCGGCUUCGCCUCGCUGCAUGACAAGGUCUCCACCGUAUCCGCCUCUCGCUCUCGUUCACCGCCACGCCAAGCCAG
This 1632-nucleotide unclassified non-coding RNA is filed under the name Leishmania donovani. RNAcentral describes it as "gene:LdHU3.09.1760(CDS-product:ubiquinone_biosynt hesis_protein-like_protein_putative)". The record is from RNAcentral. Lineage: Eukaryota; Euglenozoa; Kinetoplastea; Trypanosomatida; Trypanosomatidae.